Lepidothrix coronata (blue-crowned manakin) is the source of this 908-nucleotide long non-coding RNA. RefSeq lists it as uncharacterized. The record is from RefSeq and is a predicted model, not a curated record. NCBI's taxonomy places the organism in Eukaryota, Metazoa, Chordata, Aves, Passeriformes, Pipridae. The transcript is spliced from 4 exons.
GGAACAGGAUUUUUAAAAGCUGUGAUUUGGAAGGGGAUAAACAAAUUGAGAGCUGCAUCAGCAGGUUUUUAGCCCAGGAUGAGCAGGCACUAGUAACAAGACCUGAACAGGGCAGCGGGGUUGAGUCAGCAAGGGAAAGAAUCCCAUAAAAGCUGGACAACAGGAUGUUCUAAGAUGGAACUAAACUGGUCUUUAUGAGCAAUUAGGACAUAGUUUCAUACACACUGCAAAUAAUCACACAGCAAUAAAAUUGAUCCAAGCUUUGAAAUGGGUAUAUGAGGCAGAGUGGAGUCUCCGUGGAUUACUCACGUUCUGGGAUUUGACCCCAGGCUGGUUCCCUCUGGCAAACUCAGUAAUUAUUGAGGAGGAGGAAGCAGCUAUGGCACAGUGUGGGACCUCACACUACACUGCAGGAUACAGGCAACACUUUCACAGUCCACCCAGGAGCUGAUCUGCUGAAACAGGGACUUGAGAGCUCGGUCAGAUGGUGCUCAAAGGGCAAAGAUUUCAAAGCAACAAUCAGAGUGGCUCGGCAGAGGAAGGGCUGGUGGUGCUUGGAACAGCCUUCACAGGGACAUGGCUGGGAGAGUUACCAUGGGAACGGGAGGAAAGGAGUUACACCGCCUUUGUAAUGUGCAAACCCUACUUUCUAAAGAGUGACUCCUGCUGCAGAACUGGAAAAAGGUUGAUUUUUUUUCCUUAUAAAACAAAAAGUGUAAAAACAGUAGAAAAUUUUCAGAUGAAAACACACAGUGCCUUUUCAGGAGUCAGUCAAAUGUCCCUUUCCAUGCUGCUAAUUCUACAGUUUUCAGAAGGAGGCAAUUAUUGCCUCCCAAACUCACCUUGCAGAGCUUCAUAUCUACAUAGAAAUGAAAGUAUAAAUAGAAUCUCAUAGUUUGCACAUCCCC